Molecule: ribosomal RNA, 890 nt
Filed under: Polypedates leucomystax (Java whipping frog)
Lineage: Eukaryota; Metazoa; Chordata; Amphibia; Anura; Rhacophoridae
Description: partial 16S ribosomal RNA
Rfam family: Bacterial large subunit ribosomal RNA
Source: RNAcentral
GCAGCCACCUUUUAAAACGCGUCAAAGCGUAACCUUAGCCCCCAAAAUACCAUUAAUUUUCAUGAACCCCUAAUCUAUAAUGAAUGACUCCAUAUUUAUAUGGAAGACACCAUGCUAGGAUUAGUAACAAGAAUUUAUAAUUCUCCAAAAUGCAAAUAUAAACCAACAUGGAUGGACCAUUGGUAGUUACCGAACCUAAAUUCAAUGCAACAACACCUACAAGAAAACUCUGCAGUACUUACUCGUUAACCUAACACCAGCGCAUUACAGGAAAGAUUUAAAAAAAGAGAAGGAAUUCGGCAAAUGACGGCCCCGCCUGUUUACCAAAAACAUCGCCUCUUGACUUAUAAUAAGAGGUCCAGCCUGCCCAGUGAAUUUUAAACGGCCGCGGUAUCCUAACCGCGCGAAGGUAGCAUAAUCACUUGUUCUUUAAAUGGGGACUCGUAUCAACGGCAUCACGAGGGUUUUACUGUCUCCUCUUUUUGAUCAGUGAAAUUGAUCUUCCCGUGAAGAAGCGGGAAUAAAUUUAUAAGACGAGAAGACCCCAUGGAGCUUUAAACCAAAUAACAACUUAACCACUUAUCCCAUAAUAAAUUUAAGCCCUGUUAUAAGGUUUUUGGUUGGGGUGACCGCGGAGUAAAACACAUCCUCCACGACGAAAAAAACAGAAUUUUUAUUUAAGAACCACACUUCUAGAAAUUAGUAUACUAACGUUUACUGACCCGACAAUCGAUCAACGGACCAAGUUACCCUGGGGAUAACAGCGCAAUCUACUUCAAGAGCUCAUAUCGACAAGUAGGCUUACGACCUCGAUGUUGGAUCAGGGUAUCCCGGUGGUGCAGCCGCUACCGAAGGUUCGUUUGUUCAACGAUUAAAACCCUACGUGAUCU